GGGGUAUAGCUCAGCUGGGAGAGCAUCUGCCUUACAAGCAGGAGGUCACAGGUUCGAGCCCUGUUGUCCCC
This 71-nucleotide transfer RNA is filed under the name chicken gut metagenome. It matches the Rfam family "tRNA". From Rfam's summary of the family: Transfer RNA (tRNA) molecules are approximately 80 nucleotides in length. Their secondary structure includes four short double-helical elements and three loops (D, anti-codon, and T loops). The record is from RNAcentral.